GAUGAACGCUGGCGGCGUGCCUAAUACAUGCAAGUCGAGCGAACAGACGAGGAGCUUGCUCCUCUGACGUUAGCGGCGGACGGGUGAGUAACACGUGGAUAACCUACCUAUAAGACUGGGAUAACUUCGGGAAACCGGAGCUAAUACCGGAUAAUAUAUUGAACCGCAUGGUUCAAUAGUGAAAGACGGUUUUGCUGUCAAUUAUAGAUGGAUCUGCGCCGCAUUAGCUAGUUGGUAAGGUAACGGCUUACCAAGGCGACGAUGCGUAGCCGACAUGGGAGGGUGAUCGGCCACACUGGAACUGGGACACGGUCCAGACGCCUCCGGGAGGCACCAGUAGGGAAUCUUCCGCAAUGGGCGAAAGCCUUACGGAGCAACGCCGCGUGAGUGAUGAAGGUCUUCGGAUCGUAAAACUCUGUUAUUAGGGAAGAACAAAUUUGUAAGUAACUAUGCACGUCUUGACGGUACCUAAUCAGAAAGCCACGGCUAACUACGUG
Molecule: ribosomal RNA, 497 nt
Filed under: uncultured bacterium
Lineage: Bacteria
Description: partial 16S ribosomal RNA
Rfam family: Bacterial small subunit ribosomal RNA
Source: RNAcentral